This is a non-coding RNA of Musca domestica (house fly), 119 nucleotides long. The record is from Rfam. Lineage: Eukaryota; Metazoa; Arthropoda; Insecta; Diptera; Muscidae.
ACCUUCCUUGUCGUGGGGAGCAUAAUACUCAAUGAACGUCUAGUGAGAGUAUUGAUGCUGACACCACAAUAUUUUAACCCCCGUAUGUAUAUUCGUGUACGUACGGAAUUUUUGGAUAU